This is a long non-coding RNA of Neofelis nebulosa (Clouded leopard), 3998 nucleotides long. RefSeq lists it as uncharacterized. The record is from RefSeq and is a predicted model, not a curated record. The transcript has 4 exons. Lineage: Eukaryota; Metazoa; Chordata; Mammalia; Carnivora; Felidae.
CAAUAACAACAGGCUAACAUAAUUACACUGUAGAGGGCAGAUUGUGUCGGCUAUUACUUUAUUAAGAAAGAACAACAUGUGUGAAAGAACAGCAUCCUGCAAGGACGGAAGACUCGAGAGAAUGCAGGAAAGAGGGCAAGGCGGUUCACAAAUAUGCUGAAUUGAAAGAAUCAGGAUCACACCCUGAAAUAGCAGGAAAAUGAAUGUUUGCUUUCUCUGGCUUAUUAUUUGCUUAGUGAUACUUCAGCGUUUCUAAAAGAUAAAUGCCUUGGCUGUUGUUCUAUCAGUCUCUCUGCUUUAUUUAAUUUUACAAAGAGGAAUGCUCAGAUGUUAAAAUAUUUGUUCUCUUUUCACUUAGGAUUUGCUUCAUUUUCUACUCAAAAUGGAAUGACCCUCCGAGUUGUCUCCACUCCAGUAGGCUAUCCAGUAAAUUCUGUCUGCCAUGGUUCUUCUGGAUGUCUAACUCUGUCUCCUUAACUCAGGGAGUCCUUUCCCUGGGUUCCCUGCAACCUGCCCUGUCUCUUCAGUACAGCCUGGAAACGCUCUUCUGACGACACUCCUUAGGGUAAAGACAGACAACUGCCCAGGGAAAGGAUAGCUGAUUUUGGAACAAGGCUCUGACGGGGACUUUUCCUCAGGGUGCUUCAUAAAGAAGACACUGGGAGGUCGCGCUCAACUUCGUUGGCAGCAGGUAUCCUAAAUCCACUCCUGUGGCCUUAGCAGGCAUGGCUGCCCAGUGACCAGCCUGUGUUUAAUCACCAGCCUGCUGAGGUGAUUUAAUUUGUAUCUUGUAUUUUUUAUUUUAUUUGUUUGCUUUCUGCUGAGUUCUGACCAGGCAGCGAUCCAUGUAACAAAAAGAUGAUAACAUUAUGAGAAGAGAACACGUGUAGAAUGUUAGCGGCCACUCAACAAGAGCUGGAGAUUUCUAAAAGACAGGGUGAGAAUACGUGAUGUUUAGAAACCACAAAUGGGACCCCUCUUCAGGUGGAAGCAUAUUUCCAAUCAAUCUGAACUAUGUGCUGUUGCAUGGGAAUAGACUUUUGAGAAGUAUGGGAUGAGGUGAUGAAGAAAAUUUACUGUGCUUAGGGAAGGCAAAUGAUUGGUAAAGUAUCUUAUCUAGGGUAGUUAAAAUACAUACACACACCAUACUUUGAUGAAUUCAGCCUAGGCACAGGGGCAUAAUUGACAUACCAGAGUCAACAAGGUCAAGAGUAGAAUAGGGGAAUCAAUUGUGGCAUAUUCAUACAAUGGCAUACAGCCACGUGCCAUAAUAUGAGUUAAUCUCACAAACAUGUUGAGACCAAGAAAGAAGCCAGACAUAAAGGACUAUAGAUUUGUGAAUUCCAUUUAUAUGGAGUUCCAAACUAAGUAAAACUUAACAAGAGUAUUAGAAACUAGGAUCAUGGUUAACUUUGGGGAGAAGGGUGGGUGUUUUGACUGAUAAAAGACAUAAGCACUAUUUCUGGGGGUGUCAGUAAUAUUCUCUCUCUACAUCUUAGUGAUGGUAACAUUGGCAUUUGCUCUGAGAAGUUCAUUGUGUGAUUCAUUGAACUUCACAAUUACGUUCUAUGUACUUUUCUAUAUGUGUGUUUUAUUAAAAAACCAGCAAGAAAACUUUAUUUAAAAUUUUUAAUAGUGAAAAAUAUUUUAAAGCUCAGUUUUUAAAAUCAAAACAGGUUUAUUUUUAAAAUUAAAAGUGUAUACAAUUAUCCUACAGACAAUGGAAAGCAAUGUUAACUAUUUAACUAGAAUUUUGGGGAACGUUCUGCAAACACUCCCUUCACCUAAAUAUAUAUGUAUACAAUGAAUAGAAUGUCAACUAUAAGUAGUUUCUGGCUAUUAAUGGAACGACUUCAGGUUAACUGUAUAACUUAGUGUAUUUUUUUAGUGUUAUAAUGGGGAACUAAAUGUGUUUCAGAGAGUAAAACACUGAAAGAUUCAUUCGGGACCCUUGGUGAAUGAAGGGGUUUUACUUUGUGUUCAGUUCUAUAUCUCCAGUUCUCAGAACAAUGUUUACGACAUAAUAGGUGCCAGGUAAAUAGCUGUUGAAAAAGAGUAAAUGUGUAUUUGAGUAUUUUGCUCUCUGAGAGGAGAAGAUGGUGACCGUACUAGGGUGUGGCUGACAAUCUUACUUCAUGUCUAUUAAAUGCAGUGUUGCAAUUGUAAAUAAGUCUUAGCCUACUGGACAUUUUUGUCAUUCUCGUUGCCUUGGGAACAGAGAUGAGGCAGAAGAAAACAACACUGGCCAAAGGCAAGGGUGUGGAACAGCCUGGCUCUGUGUGGGGAAGAGUGAGUAAGGAAUUCCUUUUGGCUGAAGGGUCAGGGCUGGGGGGAAGGGAGGGAGUUAAGGAUGGAAAAUGGUAGAAAUCAUAAAGUUAGGAUAAGGCCACUGUGUGACAUUCAACAUCAAAUGAUAGCUCCGCCCUUUUCAUUUGAGCUCACACAUGCCUGCAUGCCAUCAUUCCGGCCCCUAAUGCCACAGUGAAGGCCAAUGAGAUGAACGGGCCCCAUGGUAGUUUAUGUUCAAUUUUCCUGAAACCUGCAAAGCUUUUUCUAGAAUGUAUCUGGGUGUCUAGAGAACAUCAAGAUAACUGGGAGAAAAAGGAUCUGAUUGCUGCUGUGUGGUACUAAAUGCUCGAUUCACUCUUUCAUUCAUUCAAAAUGGGUCUACUUUUCAAUGAGUAAAUGUCUGAAGGUUGCAGGCAUCUCCAAGACUCAGUCUUAGCUCUGGCCAUCGCUCAAAACCACAAGACUUUUGGGGCACCUGGGUGGCUCAGUUGGUUAAGCAUCAAACUUCGGCUCAGGUCAUGAUCUCAUGGCUCGUAGGUUCGAGCCCCGUGUCAGGCUCUGUGCUGACAGCUCAGCCUGGAGCCUGCUUCUGAUUCUGUGUCUCCCUCUCUCUCUUUGCCCCUCCCUCGCCUACGCUCUGUCUCUGUCUCUCUCUCUCAAAAAUGAAUAAACGUUAAAAUAUAACAAACAAACAAAAAAACUGCAAGACUUUUGAAUCAGCCUGGUGGUAUUCUAACUGGUUUGGCAAGGUCUUCUCUUAUGUGUCUUAACAACUAUCAGAAAUAACGCGUAACCACAAGAGUGCCUCCUGGAAUGCCUUGAUUUCAUGCAUCGUAAUAAAAUGAAUCAUAUGCGCUUAAGGAAAGGAUUUAAAAAAUGUAAAGCAAGCAGUACAAGCCUAAAUGACGCUGCCACCAUUGAGCAGUGCUGAAUACGCAAUUACCUGCUAAACAAUAGGUAUUAACAAAUCAGGCCGAAUGCUCGUGAGAAAACGGUCCUCUAAUUAAAUAAAAGGAGAAUCCGAGUUUCUUGUUGCAGGGAUUGUUGGUGGGAUUAAAGGAUUGUUCUGGAGCCCAGUGCACAGAAUGAGAGACCUGGCGGCCUGCCUCAGAGCUCUGCAGCCCCCACCUGCUGAGACGCCCCAAACCCUGAGACCAACUUGGUUUCACUAAGUGGGAGGAUUAAGACAGAUCUUGACCAUCGCCCCCCCUUUGGUCAGCAAAGAAAAAGAAAAAGAAAAUGAGGAAAACAGCUCAUUUUUCACUUGUCAUUUCACGGAAUGAGUAUAAGACCCAGGGUAAGCAUACAUCCCAUAGUGAGAAUAUAUUGUUUAACUGAGUAUGAUUCUGCUUUUCAUUUUUUACGUUUUUAAAGUUUAUUUAUUUUGAGAGAGAGAACGCACAUGAAAGGGGAAGGGGCAGAGAGAAAGAGGGAGAAAGAAUCUCAAGCAGGAUCUGCGCUGAGCCGGACACAAGGCUCAAUCUCACGACCAUGCUGAGAUCAUGACCUGAGAGGAAAUCAAGAGUCGGACACUUAACCAACUGAAACACCUAGAUGCCCCUAAUUGUGCUUUUUUAAAUAAUAUGCAUAUUUUUACAUAACCCAUCCCCUAAAUGCAAGCCAAUUGUCCACUCUGGAAUUCAACUAAAGAAUGAUUUUUUUUUUUCAGUGCUUAGAAUUAAAGGGCUGGGGGUGGAAGGCAUCUAUUG